Molecule: ribosomal RNA, 424 nt
Filed under: uncultured Roseburia sp.
Lineage: Bacteria; Bacillati; Bacillota; Clostridia; Lachnospirales; Lachnospiraceae
Description: bacterial SSU rRNA
Rfam family: Bacterial small subunit ribosomal RNA
Source: RNAcentral
UGGGGAAUAUUGCACAAUGGGGGGAAACCCUGAUGCAGCGACGCCGCGUGAGCGAAGAAGUAUUUCGGUAUGUAAAGCUCUAUCAGCAGGGAAGAAGAAUGACGGUACCUGACUAAGAAGCCCCGGCUAACUACGUGCCAGCAGCCGCGGUAAUACGUAGGGGGCAAGCGUUAUCCGGAUUUACUGGGUGUAAAGGGAGCGUAGACGGAUUAGCAAGUCUGAUGUGAAAGCCCGGGGCUCAACCCCGGUACUGCAUUGGAAACUGUCGUACUAGAGUGUCGGAGGGGUAAGUGGAAUUCCUAGUGUAGCGGUGAAAUGCGUAGAUAUUAGGAGGAACACCAGUGGCGAAGGCGGCUUACUGGACGAUAACUGACGCUGAGGCUCGAAAGCGUGGGGAGCAAACAGGAUUAGAUACCCUGGUAGU